RNAcentral lists this ribosomal RNA (440 nucleotides) under uncultured bacterium. Its description in RNAcentral is "partial 16S ribosomal RNA". It matches the Rfam family "Bacterial small subunit ribosomal RNA", at positions 338 to 795 of the family's 1533-position model. The record is from RNAcentral.
CCUACGGGUGGCAGCAGUGGGGAAUAUUGCACAAUGGGGGAAACCCUGAUGCAGCGACGCCGCGUGAGUGAAGAAGUAAUUCGUUAUGUAAAGCUCUAUCAGCAGGGAAGAAAAUGACGGUACCUGAGUAAGAAGCCCCGGCUAACUACGUGCCAGCAGCCGCGGUAAUACGUAGGGGGCAAGCGUUAUCCGGAUUUACUGGGUGUAAAGGGAGCGUAGACGGCAGUGCAAGUCUGGAGUGAAAGGCGGGGGCUCAACCCCCGGACUGCUCUGGAAACUGGCAAACUGGAGUGUGUGAGAGGAUAGUGGAAUUCCAGGUGUAGGAGUGAAAUCCGUAGAUAUCUGGAGGAACAUCAGUGGCGAAGGCGACUAUCUGGCACAUAACUGACGCUGAGGAGCGAAAGCGUGGGUAGCAAACAGGAUUAGAUACCCCUGUAGUC